This 78-nucleotide transfer RNA is filed under the name Escherichia phage JLBYU28. RNAcentral's name for it is "tRNA-Ile". It matches the Rfam family "tRNA". Rfam says of the family: Transfer RNA (tRNA) molecules are approximately 80 nucleotides in length. The record is from RNAcentral. Lineage: Duplodnaviria; Heunggongvirae; Uroviricota; Caudoviricetes; Andersonviridae.
UGCUGUGAAAGCACAUAUGGAUGUGCAUUCGGCUGAUAACCGAAAGGAAGAAGGUUCGAAUCCUUCUCACAGUACCAA